Long non-coding RNA from Gadus morhua (Atlantic cod), 3137 nucleotides. RefSeq lists it as uncharacterized. Lineage: Eukaryota; Metazoa; Chordata; Actinopteri; Gadiformes; Gadidae. The record is from RefSeq and is a predicted model, not a curated record. The transcript has 2 exons.
UGAGACGGUAGAGGGGUUAGAAAUCAAUAAAUUAAAAUAGGCUAUUUAUUUCAGGUAGCCUAUUAUUUCACCCCAAAAAAUAAGUUUAAAAUCUCCCCCCAAAAAUGGAAUCACGUUCCCAGCGCCCCCCUAGGUGGUGCGAACGCCCCCGUUGAGAAACCAUGGUAGGCUAUAGAUGGUAAAGCCGUACAAGGAGCCACAUAGGAAAAUGUUACAGGGCAAUGGGUCAUAUCGGUACCGUUACAUGGAGGAUGUUCCCUGUCUCAGACAACAAAUCAGUUGCGCAGUAUGAGUGCUAUGGAUUUGCCUUAUAGGCCUACUGGUCAUGGUUUACUUCAGCUGGUUGAAGGUCAUGCGCUGCGGCAGAGUAUCUGCCAAGGAAAAUAAAUUUCGGGAUACGAGUGGUUGGGGGAUAACAAGAUCUAUUCUAAUGCCACUUGUAUGUGGCCGACGGAGACCUACCAGAGUUGUGGAGAAGGAAGCACUCGACAUGAAUGCACCUGGACUGAAAGAAUAGGACUGGUGUUUGUUACCGCGGCCGAAGAUACACUGCACACGAUCGUGGGCUGUUGGACGAGGGGUCAUGACUAUAGGAGGAUGGAUGCUUGACAAACUCCUCGCCCUCAUGUGGCUGCUCUGGCCGGUGAUGCUAACCUUUUUCCUAGUGGCGCUUGGAAUCCUGGCCUUUUUUAUUAUUUUUAAAGCAGGAACUAUGGCAGCAUUCCAAAGACUGUUUGGUAUGGCGGCCCCCGUCAACAAAAAUCCCCAAAGGAAUAGAGAGUCAUCCUGGGCUCUGAAGGCCAUUAGAUAAGGAGCCUGCCAAAACCGAGUGGAACUCCCCAAUCUCUACCAACAUGAUAGGGAAUACUCCUGGCCUUGACCGACAAUAGACCGAAAUUUGACUGACAACUGACCGACAAGAUGAAAGAGCCCCUGUCCCGGCUGGGGAGGAGAGAUCGAGAGAUGACGGAAAUUGGGUCCGCCCUACCCUGCCCCUCGGGGUGGGUGGAGGCAAGCAGAUAUAUUAAGCCAGUAACUGCGUGGUUGAGUAGUUGUAGUGGACUGGUGACUGACUAGCGAUGGAUGUUUCCGGUACCUCCACAACCCCACUCUUGACGACCUGGCCUGCUAAUAGAGCUGCCGAGUGUUACCGGUGUCAGGCGGGUCCUAGCCAGGCCCUAUACUUAUGGGACGUGGAAGAACGUAUAAUCUGUAACACUUGUCAUGAUGACUUGCCUGGAUUCUUUAAUGGACAUGGGAUUUUUAGCAGUCAGGGCGUGCCCUCGCCGGUGUCCGCAUCCACUAUGCUAGAUUUGUACACCAACUACCCCAUAAAUUGGCACAAUAAUGUGUGUCCCUUGGGGGAUGGGACCCCCGUGGAAACACAACAGUAUGCGAAUGGCCAAUAUUUUCUAGUUAUCCCGCUAGUGUGGGUGGGCCCGGGUGGAGCAUGCAUGAGUACUGCCAUUCUGGGGUCUGGCCUGUGCUUUGCUGCGCGUGCUAUGCCUGCAACCAUCUUCAUGAUGCAGUUUCCAGACCGGGGCCUGCAGACGCGCAUGCCUCCAUCUCCAGCCCCCUGCUGGCUUUCUGAUACACCAUGCCCGGCUCGUCCGCGCCGCCCUGCGGCCACGGCGGGGGCUCUUCGUAAUCCUGAUGUGCCAGGCGACCACAGACCUCCGGGGCCGCCAACUCCCCUGGAUACUCUGGAUGUCGUGGGUGAUUGUCCCCAUCCCCGCCCGACUGUUCCCCCUCACUUCCCGCCAAGUCGUCCUGCCCCGGAUUGGCUUCGAGGACCUAUGGAUGUGUAAUGUAGGCCUAUGUGUUGUCUCCAAGGGACUCUACCGAAAUCAAGGAGGGGGUGUCAAGUAAGGUAGAUUUCUUGGAGUCCAGGAGACAGGGCGGAGGUGGUUUUGUCUGUGGGCGGACAAGGGCUGGGGAGGCAUGGGUUGUUGGGAAAUUACCAAGGCCAAGGGAGAUGUGUUUUUUUUUCCAGCAGGGGCUGAAGGAUGUUAAAGAGGCAUGGAUUUACUUAUGUCAGUGUUACUUAUGUUUCAGGUUUAUUCAUGUAUCAGUUUAACAUCAUGAAAUCAUAUAUCAUGUUUUAGUAUCAUCAUAUAACAAUCAUUUUCGUUGUUUCUUUGUUUUAGUAGGCUAUUAUCAUAAAUCGUAUCAUCAUAUCAUAUAUCAUGGUUUAGUAUCAUCAUAUAACGAUCUCUUUCUUUAAUAUCUAUCAUUCAUUCUAAAGUGUUUCUUUGUUUUAGUAUCAUCAUAAAUAUAUCUCUUUCUUUAAUAUCUAUCAUUCCUUAUAAAAUGUUUCUUUGUUUUAGUAUCAUCAUAAAUAUAUCUCUUUCUUUAAUAUCUAUCAUUCAUUAUAAAAUGUAUCAUGUUGCUUUGACAUAAUCGAGUAUGGAAGUAAGCACUUAAAAGGAUUCAAGCACUUAUUGGUAAAACUAUGUUGUCCUACACUUAUGACUGGUUGUAUUGUUGUAUUGUUUGACAUUUUAUGAUCUUACACUUAUAAGGUGUUGUAUUAUUGUAUUUUUUAUCAUUAUAUGGUGUAUUUUACUUAUAGUAUAAUUUGUGGAACAAUACGAACAAUCUGAAGGCGUCAGAUUGUUCGUAUUGUUACUCCCCCUAUUGUUACUCCCCCUCGCCAUCCCUUCCAUGGCGAGGGGGAGAAAUACCCAGGUCACAUUGACCUGAUGCAGGCCAGCUGCAUAAGAGAAAGGGGAGGUUACAGAGGUAAAACUUCUAGAUACUGAUACGGGUUGCUCCCGCGUCAUCAGAGGGAGAGCCGCGCUGGUAUGGGUUGCUCCGGUGUCGGGAGAGGGAGAGAGAGGGGUUCUCUAUCUCUCCUCGGGCACGGAGGGUCGGUCUCAUCAAAUGGUCCCACAGCCAGGAAGGUCUCAUCAAAUGGUCCCACAGCCAGCGGAGAAUCUCUCUCUCUCUCUCUCUCUCUCUCUCUCUCUCUCUCUCUCUCUCUCUCUCUCUCUCUCUCUCUCUCUCUCUCUCUCUCUCUCUCUCUCUCUCUCUCUCUCUCUCUCUCAUACUUUAGGGUGCCUCUUUGACUUACUGUGUUAUAAUUUGUUGUGUUUUAGUUAGUGUAGGCCUUAAUAAAAUAAUACAUAUAUUUUGUA